GCCGGUGUGGUGGAAUAGGCAGACACAAGGGACUUAAAAUCCCUCGGACUAAUACUCCGUACCGGUUCAAGUCCGGUCACCGGCACCA
Molecule: transfer RNA, 88 nt
Filed under: Ruminococcus bromii
Lineage: Bacteria; Bacillati; Bacillota; Clostridia; Eubacteriales; Oscillospiraceae
Also listed under: 4 other names
Description: tRNA-Leu
Rfam family: tRNA
About the family: Transfer RNA (tRNA) molecules are approximately 80 nucleotides in length. Their secondary structure includes four short double-helical elements and three loops (D, anti-codon, and T loops).
Source: RNAcentral